GCAGUGCAUCCCAUCACAUCGCAGUGCACCCAGUUUCUUCCACUUCACCCAUUGCCUUCCACUGCCCCCAGAGCCUCCCAGUGCCUCCCAGUGCCCCCCAGCCGAGCCCCCAGAGCCCACUCCCUUUGCUCUCCCCCUCGGGACUGGCGCAGGGACCCGGCUCCAUCCCGGCCGGGCUCUGUCCCCACUCCCUGGCGUCACCCAGCUCUCUCCACGCUCACUGGGACGUCUGCCCAGUGCUGGCACUGCUGCGAGACGGCGCCAUCCCCCCCCCCGGCGUCACCACCCCCAUCCCCGCAGGGGACAGUGGCCUGGACCCGCUGGGCCCCGUCUCGCCUGGGCUUAGUGGCUUCAGCUCUGCUGCAGCGUCAGCUGCACCGAGAGUGCCCGGUCCCUGCCCGCGGCACCCUGGGGAGCGGAGGGGACACCCGGCACUGCCAUGGGGACACCGGGGGUGGCCGCCAGCGGGGUGCUGGGGCACGGUGGGUGGGGGCGAUCCCAUGGCCGUGCUGAGCCAUCGGCUCGGCUGGGGACCGGUGGCCGCCUCCGCACGGGGUGGGGACCGUCAGGGCGCGUGUCCCCGCAGUCUCCGUGAUGCACAUCGAGGGCGUGCGCCAGGGCCACCAGUCGGAGGGGCUGCGCAAGUACGGCGGCUCCUUCCCCGAGCGGCACUGCUUCACCAUCGUCUUCAAGGGCAAGCGCAAGAACCUCGACCUGGCGGCGCGGGGCGAGGAGGACGCCCAGCACUGGGUGCAGGGGCUCACCAAGCUGAUGGCGCGGCUGCAGGCCAUGAACCAGCGGGAGAAGCUCGACCACUGGAUCCAUGGCAUCCUGCAGCGAGCCGACAAGAACAAGGACAACAAGAUGUGCUUCCAGGAGGUGAAGAGCAUGCUGCGGAUGAUCAACAUCGACAUGAACGACAUCUACGCCUACAAGCUCUUCAAGGUACCCGCCCUGCGCCCUGUCACCCGCUGUCACCUGGCUGAGGGCACGCUGGCUCCUUCCCUGCCCAACGCAGAGGACUGUCAAACUCAUUGCACCCUGAGCGCUGCCAAUGUCCAGGUCCUGUCGUGAUGGGAG
Molecule: long non-coding RNA, 1080 nt
Filed under: Anas platyrhynchos platyrhynchos (common mallard)
Lineage: Eukaryota; Metazoa; Chordata; Aves; Anseriformes; Anatidae
Description: lncRNA (ENSAPLG00000021040.1)
Source: RNAcentral